AUGGAGAUUUUCUCAUGGCUACACUUUUCCUCUGGCUCUAGUGGCUCUGCCUGGCAGGCCUCCCAGGCCAACACAUUCUCCCAUAGCUCUGCCUCCUUCUCGGUCCCUAACUCUCUUUUAUAUCUCCCCUCUCAGAAUGGCAUGCCCUACUCCACUUGCUGUGCACCCCGUCACCCCAUCUGCAGCUGCUCCAGCUCCCCAAUCUAUGAGGGAGCUAAAGCUGUCAAAUCUCUAGCCUUUGUCAAAGCAGAAAAUCCCCCUAGUAAAGCCUGCUGCAGGAUCCUUCAGAUGGUAAAGUGACAGGCCAAUGAAGCACAAUCGGCAUGCAAGCUGCUCACUGGCAGACUUCCAAGGGACACCAGUCAAAACAAAUGCACCAAGGAUGAUAUGUAUAUGAGGUUUUUUUUUUAAGUCUCAUCCUAGAACGGGAAGAAUUAGCAAGAAAUGCUUCUUUUCGUUAUGAGGUGGCUCAUUCUUGACCAGAUGAACUGUAUGCAAAUGUUAAACAAAAUUUAAAAUAGCAAGGAAAAAAAAUAUAAGGGCACCUUUGGAGAAAGCCAUAAACCAUAACUAGAGUAGGGUAUCUGGAGUUUUGAGCAUGGGAACCAGAAUGUAGAGGUUCAGAUCAACAUUCUUGGCAUUUAAUCUUUCAAAAAAAAAACAAAAAAACCAUCCAGCUUCUGAAUAUGGAAUAUGGCUUCCAUGUGCAUGUACUGCCUCCUCCUUGACAGGGAGAGCGGAACACCACACAGGCAAGCACAGCAUGGAACCGAUACAGCACGGGGUUCCAUGGUGUUCAAAAAGCCACACAUACAGUGGGGUCAAGCUCCUUGGUAAAGUAGGCAGUGAAACCACCGAAGUCCAAGAGAGUUAAGAAUGUAAUAUGCUACCACCUUGCAGGAGGUGAUGGGGGUUGUAAUCCAGCACCUCUGGAAGAAGAGGUUGGGAACCUGAGAAAGGUUGGCUUCAUGUCAAAUUAGAGGGCUUGGUUGGUACAAAUUACACACCACUGCUGAAUACUAGAUGGUGAUGCUUUCUCUCAACUGCUGACGCAAGAUAUAAAUAGAACAAAAAGAAAAUUUCCAUGACUUAUGAGCAAGCAUCCUCAAGCCCUGAGAUGUCAUGUGACUCCGCAUUGACACAAGAAGGAUGAAAAGAUUCUCAACAUAUCUCCUGUAUCAGCAGUAUGAGCUACUUCCAGUAUCUCUGGCUUGAAGAUGGUUUUAUAGAAGGAAAACUUCCAACUGCGACACUUGUUAAGGUGCGGAAAACAGCGGUGGAACAGUCAGGCCUGAAGAAAAGAAUGGCAUAAAGGGAUAAUAAAAAAUACCUGUUUCGAAAGGUGAAGCCUUAU
RNAcentral lists this long non-coding RNA (1354 nucleotides) under Pogona vitticeps (central bearded dragon). RNAcentral's name for it is "lncRNA (ENSPVIG00000001950.1)". The record is from RNAcentral. Lineage: Eukaryota; Metazoa; Chordata; Lepidosauria; Squamata; Agamidae.